This 76-nucleotide transfer RNA is filed under the name Bacteriovorax sp. DB6_IX. RNAcentral's name for it is "tRNA-His". It matches the Rfam family "tRNA". Rfam says of the family: Transfer RNA (tRNA) molecules are approximately 80 nucleotides in length. Their secondary structure includes four short double-helical elements and three loops (D, anti-codon, and T loops). Further hydrogen bonds mediate the characteristic L-shaped molecular structure. tRNAs have two regions of fundamental functional importance: the anti-codon, which is responsible for specific mRNA codon recognition, and the 3' end, to which the tRNAs corresponding amino acid is attached (by aminoacyl-tRNA synthetases). tRNAs cope with the degeneracy of the genetic code in two manners: having more than one tRNA (with a specific anti-codon) for a particular amino acid; and 'wobble' base-pairing, i.e. permitting non-standard base-pairing at the 3rd anti-codon position. The record is from RNAcentral. Lineage: Bacteria; Pseudomonadati; Bdellovibrionota; Bacteriovoracia; Bacteriovoracales; Bacteriovoracaceae. RNAcentral also lists the same sequence under 2 other names.
GUGACCGUAGUUCAGUUGGUAGAGCACCUGAUUGUGGUUCAGGUUGUCGUGGGUUCGAGCCCCAUCGGUCACCCCA